GCCAAUCAAACUCCGUGAUAGCUGGUUCUCCCCGAAAUGCAUUUAGGUGCAGCGUUGCGUGUUUCUUGCCGGAGGUAGAGCACUGGAUGGUCUAGGGGGCCCACAAGCUUACCGAAAUCAGCCAAACUCCGAAUGCCGGUAAGUUAGAGCGUGGCAGUGAGACUGUGGGGGAUAAGCUUCAUAGUCGAGAGGGAAACAGCCCAGAUCAUCAGCUAAGGCCCCUAAGAGGUGACUAAGUGGAAAAGGAUGUGGAGUUGCGUUGACAACCAGGAGGUUGGCUUGGAAGCAGCCAUCCUUGAAAGAGUGCGUAAUAGCUCACUGGUCAAGUGAUUCUGCGCCGACAAUUCAGCGGGGCUCAAGUUAUCCGCCGAAGCUGUGGCAUUCACGCGUUGUGGCCGGAAGGUUGCGUGGAUGGGUAGGGGAGCGUCGUGUGCGUGUUGAAGCGGUGGGGUGACCUGGUCGUGGAGUGCAUACGAGUGAGAAUGCAGGCAUGAGUAGCGAAUGACGGGUGAGAAACCCGUCCGCCGAAUAUCCAAGGGUUCCAGGGUCAAGUUAAUCUGCCCUGGGUUAGUCGGGACCUAAGGCGAGGCCGACAGGCGUAGUCGAUGGACAACGGGUUGAUAUUCCCGUACCGGCGAAACAACGUCCGUGCUGGGGCACGCGAUGCUAAGCAUGCGAGACUGUCUGCUGCCUUUCGGGGUGGUGGGUGGUUGAGUCUGUGAUCCGAGUGUGUAGUAGGCAAGCCGCGGAGGGACGCAGGAAGGUAGCUCAUCCUCAGCGUUGGUUGUCUGAGGCUAAGUGUGUAGGGUGGGGUGUAGGUAAAUCCGCAUUCCGUGAUGCCUGAGACACGAUGGGCCUGCACCGUUUGGGUGUGGGUUGAGUGAUCCUAUGCUGCCUAGAAAAGCUUCGUUGGCGAGUUGUUAGCCGCCCGUACCCUAAACCGACACAGGUGGAUAGGUAGAGAAUACCGAGGCGAUCGGGAUAAUCGUGGUGAAGGAACUCGGCAAAAUACCCCCGUAACUUCGGGAUAAGGGGGACCUGAUACGUGACCAGCCUUGCGUUGUGAGCGUUGAGGGUCGCAGAGACCAGGCCCAAGCGACUGUUUACUAAAAACACAGGUCCGUGCCAACUCGUAAGAGGAUGUAUACGGACUGACUCCUGCCCGGUGCUGGAAGGUUAAGGGGAACUGUCAGCCGCAUUUUGUGUGGUGAAGCGGUGAACUUAAGCCCCAGUAAACGGCGGUGGUAACUAUAACCAUCCUAAGGUAGCGAAAUUCCUUGUCGGGUAAGUUCCGACCUGCACGAAUGGAGUAACGAUUUGGGCGCUGUCUCCACCACGAACCCGGUGAAAUUGCAUUACGAGUAAAGAUGCUCGUUACGCGCAGCAGGACGGAAAGACCCCGGGACCUUUACUACAGUUUGGUAUUGGUGAUCGGUGUGACUUGUGUAGGAUAGGUGGGAGACUUUGAAACCGGGACGCCAGUUCCGGUGGAGUCGUCGUUGAAAUACCACUCUGGUCACUCUGGUUAUCUAACCUAGGACCGUUAUCCGGUUCAGGGACAGUGCCUGAUGGGUAGUUUGACUGGGGCGGUCGCCUCCUAAAAGGUAACGGAGGCGCCCAAAGGUUCCCUCAGCCUGGUUGGCAAUCAGGUUUCGAGUGUAAGUGCACAAGGGAGCUUGACUGUGAGACCGACGGGUCGAGCAGGGACGAAAGUCGGGACUAGUGAUCUUCUGGUAGCGAAUGGAAGCGCCAGGACUCAACGGAUAAAAGGUACCCCGGGGAUAACAGGCUGAUCUUGCCCGAGCGUCCAUAGCGACGGCAUGGUUUGGCACCUCGAUGUCGGCUCGUCGCAUCCUGGGGCUGGAGUCGGUCCCAAGGGUUGGGCUGUUCGCCCAUUAAAGCGGCACGCGAGCUGGGUUUAGAACGUCGUGAGACAGUUCGGUCCCUAUCCGCUGCGCGCGUAGGAGUCUUGAGAAGGGCUGUCCUUAGUACGAGAGGACCGGGACGGACCAACCUCUGGUGUGCCAGUUGUUCCGCCAGGAGCACGGCUGGUUGGCUACGUUGGGAAGUGAUAACCGCUGAAAGCAUCUAAGCGGGAAGCACGCUUCAAGAUGAGGACUCCCACACCAUCAAGGUGGUAAGGCCCCCUGCAGACCACAGGGUCGAUAGGUCGGACGUGGAAGCACAGUAAUGUGUGAAGCUGACCGAUACUAAUAGGCCGAGGGCUUGCCACA
RNAcentral lists this ribosomal RNA (2234 nucleotides) under human oral metagenome. Its description in RNAcentral is "bacterial LSU rRNA". It matches the Rfam family "Bacterial large subunit ribosomal RNA", at positions 828 to 2925 of the family's 2925-position model. The record is from RNAcentral.